This 129-nucleotide small nuclear RNA is filed under the name Pelecanus crispus (Dalmatian pelican). RNAcentral describes it as "U4 spliceosomal RNA". It matches the Rfam family "U4 spliceosomal RNA". From Rfam's summary of the family: U4 small nuclear RNA (U4 snRNA) is a component of the major U2-dependent spliceosome. The structure of U4 snRNA from yeast and human has been reported. Lineage: Eukaryota; Metazoa; Chordata; Aves; Pelecaniformes; Pelecanidae. The record is from Rfam by way of RNAcentral.
AGCUUUUUGCAGUGGCAGUAUCGUAGCCCAUGAGGUUAAUCCGAGGCGCAAUUAUUGCUAGUUGAAGCAAUGCAGGAGACACAAUAGAUGGAUCUUUCAUCUCAUUAAUUAUGGCCAUGCUUAAAUUGU